GGGUUGUGAGGUUAAGCGACUAAGCGUACACGGUGGAUGCCCUGGCAGUCAGAGGCGAUGAAGGACGUGCUAAUCUGCGAUAAGCGUCGGUAAGGUGAUAUGAACCGUUAUAACCGGCGAUUUCCGAAUGGGGAAACCCAGUGUGUUUCGACACACUAUCAUUAACUGAAUCCAUAGGUUAAUGAGGCGAACCGGGGGAACUGAAACAUCUAAGUACCCCGAGGAAAAGAAAUCAACCGAGAUUCCCCAGUAGCGGCGAGCGAACGGGGAGCAGCCCAGAGCCUGAAUCAGUGUGUGUGUUAGUGGAAGCGUCUGGAAAGGCGCGCGAUACAGGGUGACAGCCCCGUACACAAAAAUGCACAUGCUGUGAGCUCGAUGAGUAGGGCGGGACACGUGGUAUCCUGUCUGAAUAUGGGGGGACCAUCCUCCAAGGCUAAAUACUCCUGACUGACCGAUAGUGAACCAGUACCGUGAGGGAAAGGCGAAAAGAACCCCGGCGAGGGGAGUGAAAAAGAACCUGAAACCGUGUACGUACAAGCAGUGGGAGCACGCUUAGGCGUGUGACUGCGUACCUUUUGUAUAAUGGGUCAGCGACUUAUAUUCUGUAGCAAGGUUAACCGAAUAGGGGAGCCGAAGGGAAACCGAGUCUUAACUGGGCGUUAAGUUGCAGGGUAUAGACCCGAAACCCGGUGAUCUAGCCAUGGGCAGGUUGAAGGUUGGGUAACACUAACUGGAGGACCGAACCGACUAAUGUUGAAAAAUUAGCGGAUGACUUGUGGCUGGGGGUGAAAGGCCAAUCAAACCGGGAGAUAGCUGGUUCUCCCCGAAAGCUAUUUAGGUAGCGCCUCGUGAAUUCAUCUCCGGGGGUAGAGCACUGUUUCGGCAAGGGGGUCAUCCCGACUUACCAACCCGAUGCAAACUGCGAAUACCGGAGAAUGUUAUCACGGGAGACACACGGCGGGUGCUAACGUCCGUCGUGAAGAGGGAAACAACCCAGACCGCCAGCUAAGGUCCCAAAGUCAUGGUUAAGUGGGAAACGAUGUGGGAAGGCCCAGACAGCCAGGAUGUUGGCUUAGAAGCAGCCAUCAUUUAAAGAAAGCGUAAUAGCUCACUGGUCGAGUCGGCCUGCGCGGAAGAUGUAACGGGGCUAAACCAUGCACCGAAGCUGCGGCAGCGACGCUUAUGCGUUGUUGGGUAGGGGAGCGUUCUGUAAGCCUGCGAAGGUGUGCUGUGAGGCAUGCUGGAGGUAUCAGAAGUGCGAAUGCUGACAUAAGUAACGAUAAAGCGGGUGAAAAGCCCGCUCGCCGGAAGACCAAGGGUUCCUGUCCAACGUUAAUCGGGGCAGGGUGAGUCGACCCCUAAGGCGAGGCCGAAAGGCGUAGUCGAUGGGAAACAGGUUAAUAUUCCUGUACUUGGUGUUACUGCGAAGGGGGGACGGAGAAGGCUAUGUUGGCCGGGCGACGGUUGUCCCGGUUUAAGCGUGUAGGCUGGUUUUCCAGGCAAAUCCGGAAAAUCAAGGCUGAGGCGUGAUGACGAGGCACUACGGUGCUGAAGCAACAAAUGCCCUGCUUCCAGGAAAAGCCUCUAAGCAUCAGGUAACAUCAAAUCGUACCCCAAACCGACACAGGUGGUCAGGUAGAGAAUACCAAGGCGCUUGAGAGAACUCGGGUGAAGGAACUAGGCAAAAUGGUGCCGUAACUUCGGGAGAAGGCACGCUGAUAUGUAGGUGAGGUCCCUCGCGGAUGGAGCUGAAAUCAGUCGAAGAUACCAGCUGGCUGCAACUGUUUAUUAAAAACACAGCACUGUGCAAACACGAAAGUGGACGUAUACGGUGUGACGCCUGCCCGGUGCCGGAAGGUUAAUUGAUGGGGUCAGCGCAAGCGAAGCUCUUGAUCGAAGCCCCGGUAAACGGCGGCCGUAACUAUAACGGUCCUAAGGUAGCGAAAUUCCUUGUCGGGUAAGUUCCGACCUGCACGAAUGGCGUAAUGAUGGCCAGGCUGUCUCCACCCGAGACUCAGUGAAAUUGAACUCGCUGUGAAGAUGCAGUGUACCCGCGGCAAGACGGAAAGACCCCGUGAACCUUUACUAUAGCUUGACACUGAACAUUGAGCCUUGAUGUGUAGGAUAGGUGGGAGGCUUUGAAGUGUGGACGCCAGUCUGCAUGGAGCCGACCUUGAAAUACCACCCUUUAAUGUUUGAUGUUCUAACGUUGACCCGUAAUCCGGGUUGCGGACAGUGUCUGGUGGGUAGUUUGACUGGGGCGGUCUCCUCCUAAAGAGUAACGGAGGAGCACGAAGGUUGGCUAAUCCUGGUCGGACAUCAGGAGCUUAGUGCAAUGGCAUAAGCCAGCUUGACUGCGAGCGUGACGGCGCGAGCAGGUGCGAAAGCAGGUCAUAGUGAUCCGGUGGUUCUGAAUGGAAGGGCCAUCGCUCAACGGAUAAAAGGUACUCCGGGGAUAACAGGCUGAUACCGCCCAAGAGUUCAUAUCGACGGCGGUGUUUGGCACCUCGAUGUCGGCUCAUCACAUCCUGGGGCUGAAGUAGGUCCCAAGGGUAUGGCUGUUCGCCAUUUAAAGUGGUACGCGAGCUGGGUUUAGAACGUCGUGAGACAGUUCGGUCCCUAUCUGCCGUGGGCGCUGGAGAACUGAGGGGGGCUGCUCCUAGUACGAGAGGACCGGAGUGGACGCAUCACUGGUGUUCGGGUUGUCAUGCCAAUGGCACUGCCCGGUAGCUAAAUGCGGAAGAGAUAAGUGCUGAAAGCAUCUAAGCACGAAACUUGCCCCGAGAUGAGUUCUCCCUGACCCUUUAAGGGUCCUGAAGGAACGUUGAAGACGACGACGUUGAUAGGCCGGGUGUGUAAGCGCAGCGAUGCGUUGAGCUAACCGGUACUAAUGAACCGUGAGGCUUAACCUUACAACGCCGAAGGUGUUU
RNAcentral lists this ribosomal RNA (2930 nucleotides) under Escherichia coli. RNAcentral's name for it is "bacterial LSU rRNA". It matches the Rfam family "Bacterial large subunit ribosomal RNA". The record is from RNAcentral. Lineage: Bacteria; Pseudomonadati; Pseudomonadota; Gammaproteobacteria; Enterobacterales; Enterobacteriaceae.